RNAcentral lists this ribosomal RNA (501 nucleotides) under uncultured bacterium. Its description in RNAcentral is "partial 16S ribosomal RNA". It matches the Rfam family "Bacterial small subunit ribosomal RNA", at positions 30 to 523 of the family's 1533-position model. The record is from RNAcentral.
AUUGAACGCUGGCGGCAGGCUUAACACAUGCAAGUCGAGCGGAGAGAGGUAGCUUGCUACAGAUCUUAGCGGCGGACGGGUGAGUAAUGCUUAGGAAUCUGCCUAUUAGUGGGGGACAACAUUUCGAAAGGAAUGCUAAUACCGCAUACGUCCUACGGGAGAAAGCAGGGGAUCUUCGGACCUUGCGCUAAUAGAUGAGCCUAAGUCGGAUUAGCUAGUUGGUGGGGUAAAGGCCUACCAAGGCGACGAUCUGUAGCGGGUCUGAGAGGAUGAUCCGCCACACUGGGACUGAGACACGGCCCAGACUCCUACGGGAGGCAGCAGUGGGGAAUAUUGGACAAUGGGCGGAAGCCUGAUCCAGCCAUGCCGCGUGUGUGAAGAAGGCCUUAUGGUUGUAAAACACUUUAAGCGAGGAGGAGGCUACUUUAGUUAAUACCUAGAGAUAGUGGACGUUACUCGCAGAAUAAGCACCGGCUAACUCUGUGCCAGCAGCCGCGGUAA